Molecule: ribosomal RNA, 768 nt
Filed under: Bacillus sp. Z132
Lineage: Bacteria; Bacillati; Bacillota; Bacilli; Caryophanales; Bacillaceae
Description: bacterial SSU rRNA
Rfam family: Bacterial small subunit ribosomal RNA
Source: RNAcentral
AGUCGAGCGGAAGAAGGGAGCUUGCUCCCGGAUGUUAGCGGCGGACGGGUGAGUAACACGUGGGUAACCUGCCUGUAAGACUGGGAUAACUCCGGGAAACCGGAGCUAAUACCGGAUAGUUCCUUGAACCGCAUGGUUCAAGGAUGAAAGACGGUUUCGGCUGUCACUUACAGAUGGACCCGCGGCGCAUUAGCUAGUUGGUGAGGUAACGGCUCACCAAGGCGACGAUGCGUAGCCGACCUGAGAGGGUGAUCGGCCACACUGGGACUGAGACACGGCCCAGACUCCUACGGGAGGCAGCAGUAGGGAAUCUUCCGCAAUGGACGAAAGUCUGACGGAGCAACGCCGCGUGAGUGAUGAAGGUUUUCGGAUCGUAAAGCUCUGUUGUUAGGGAAGAACAAGUGCAAGAGUAACUGCUUGCACCUUGACGGUACCUAACCAGAAAGCCACGGCUAACUACGUGCCAGCAGCCGCGGUAAUACGUAGGUGGCAAGCGUUGUCCGGAAUUAUUGGGCGUAAAGGGCUCGCAGGCGGUUUCUUAAGUCUGAUGUGAAAGCCCCCGGCUCAACCGGGGAGGGUCAUUGGAAACUGGGAAACUUGAGUGCAGAAGAGGAGAGUGGAAUUCCACGUGUAGCGGUGAAAUGCGUAGAGAUGUGGAGGAACACCAGUGGCGAAGGCGACUCUCUGGUCUGUAACUGACGCUGAGGAGCGAAAGCGUGGGGAGCGAACAGGAUUAGAUACCCUGGUAGUCCACGCCGUAAACGAUGA